Molecule: ribosomal RNA, 200 nt
Filed under: uncultured bacterium
Lineage: Bacteria
Description: partial 16S ribosomal RNA
Rfam family: Bacterial small subunit ribosomal RNA
Source: RNAcentral
GCAGGCUGCAACUCGCCUGCAUGAAGUUGGAAUUGCUGUAAUCGCGAAUCAGAAUGUCGCGGUGAAUACGUUCCCGGGCCUUGUACACACCGCCCGUCACACCAUGAGAGUCGAUAACACCCGAAGCCUGUGAGCUAACCGUAAGGAGGCAGCAGUCGAAGGUGGGGUUGAUGAUUGGGGUGAAGUCGUAACAAGGUACC